AUACGUUUAUGUAGUAAGUUUAUGUAAAGCUAGCAUCUACUAACAUGUAUCAAGGUCAUGAAUUACUCCGGUAAAACAUGAUGGAACAAGAUGGCUAGCAAAGGGACAUAUUCUUAACAUGGCAAAGUAAAACACAUACAUGUAUAAAAAGCAUAUGUUCGGCCAUAGAGCUUUUUAUCUUUUAAAUGAGUAAGUUCAACCCUGUAAAGGAAUAAGAUGGACAAGACAAAGAAAGCUGUGGUUUUCUUUAUUCUGUUGUUUUAUCAUCAAUUAAAUCCCGUUGAGCCAACACGAUUAUGCCUUCAACUACAGGCUACCGUGGCCAUUUUUGCAACUAUAGUUUUUACUUCAGAUUAUGUUGGAGGAAAAGAUGUAUCUUUAGAAAAAGUCAUCCUGUUUAUAGCAGCAUAUCUUUUAGCACAAUGUCCGAAAGAAGGAAACACUCACACAGAUGAAGUCCCUGUAACGACCACUACUACUACUACUACUUCUACUACGACCAAACCCCCGCCACCACCUCCAAACAGAUAAAACUCAUUGCAAUGAGUCUUGUCUUCUAUUUGUAUACAAUAAAAUAUUUUGGAAUGUGAAAGAAUGUUUUAAUUUUCUUAUUGCGUGUGUUUAAUUUGUUGAAAACAAUUACUAUAUUUAUUAUCAAAUUAUAUCUCU
Long non-coding RNA from Magallana angulata, 669 nucleotides. RefSeq lists it as uncharacterized. The transcript is spliced from 4 exons. Lineage: Eukaryota; Metazoa; Mollusca; Bivalvia; Ostreida; Ostreidae. The record is from RefSeq and is a predicted model, not a curated record.